This 3112-nucleotide long non-coding RNA is filed under the name Coffea arabica (coffee). RNAcentral's name for it is "long non-coding RNA (CARA_LNC006012)". Lineage: Eukaryota; Viridiplantae; Streptophyta; Magnoliopsida; Gentianales; Rubiaceae. The record is from RNAcentral.
AGGGGAAGGGAAAAUGGACCAAAUUGCUCGCCACAACCCUAUCUAUUACAAGCCAAGAGGUGUACACAUACCCCAUAAAGAAUAACUUAAAUAAAAAGCAAAAGCAAAUGACAUAAAUGAAAGAAAUUAAAGAAAGGUUAGGAAAGCAAAGUAGACAUGUAUUUCACUUAGCACGUUGGAGCACGUAGGAAAAAUAACGCAAGAAUAUAGAAGUUAUACCUCCCUUGAAAUGAAGCUCUAAUGGAGUGAAAUCAACUUAUUUACCCUCCAAAAUAAUAAAGGGGUCAAGGUGCCAAUUUAUUUGACAAAUAAUCAUAAAUGACAAAAACAAACAUGAAUUUGAAUCGAUUAAAUCAUGUAGACAACCUACAUUUAAGAAGUCAAAAGAAGAAAGGACUUGAUUGCAAAAAUUAAUAAAGUCUUGGGGUCAAAAUUAAAGAAAAAUAAAGUAUAGGGGCCUAUUCGCAAUUAAAUUAGGGACCCAAUUGACAGCAUUGAAAGUUUGUAGGGCCCUAGUGAAAUUGAAGAAAAGUACAGGGGCUGAUCUGCAAAUUCGUUCUCUGGUUUCUUAAUGGAUCAAGCCACUUGGGCCGUUUCUUAUUUGUUGGGGCCGAAAGUCACCUGGCCCAAUCGAAACCCGAGCAAAACUGAUGGGCUAGCCUCAUUAUUUUUGCUAAUUGAACCCAAUUAAACCCCAAAUAAAGCCCAAGCAAAAGUAUUAGAUACCAGUCUCCUAAGCCCAAACCAAAAUCCAGAAAAUAAGUCAUUAAUCCACUUGUCAAACCCAAACAAUAAGUCCAAAUCAAACCUAACUUUAUUUAAUAAAACUCAACUAAAAAACUUGCUAACCUCUGAUUAUGCAUCAAGUCGCAACAUUAAUCUAUCCAGAAAUCACAUACAAUAUGCGAACAGAGGAUUAAGCUUAAAAGGGAGAAAUUAGUUUUAUUUUUCAGAUCUCUUGGCCACAAUGAAAUGAGACAGAAAAUGAGAGAUUAAAUCAGAAACUUGUGCUUCAGGACUCACGGAAGCUUUCUUUUUUUUGAUGCAAAUGAGAAGGAAAAGUUUCUGCAACUUUAUUCUUCUAGUGUCAUGUCAAACGUAGGCAAUACAGUCCAAACAAGCAGCAUUUUUCACUGAAAACAAACAACUGUGCAUUCUAUCAUUAAGACCCAAUACUAUACCCUGCAUUCCCAAUGAUUUUUGCAGCCCAGAUUACGCACAAAGGACACCAAGAGAAACAACCAUGAACACUUCGCAGAUUCGUCAGCUAGUCCCACAGAAACUUUAACCCAACAAGAAACCAUGCAAAUGUUGUGAGAUUAAUGACUCGAAAUUCCCUCUCCCCACUAUAUUAGCCAGGAAGAAAAGGUAUCUUUCAGUCAUGGAUUCCAAACAAAGUUCUGAAACUUGAAGAGAUAAAUAAAAUGACAUUGCAGUGGUCAAACACAUGGUUCAAAAAUCCCUCCCAAGAUCAUGCAACCCAGGCUAGGACUUUAUCUUAUUCAUUUAUUUCCUGGAACAUAGCAGGCCAUCAAAACAGAAACUUCUGUAUUGUUGUCGUUAUUAUAUCGUAAAACAAGGAGGAACCGCGCAUUGUUUGAAACAAACGGUUAAACCUCCGACUCUAACAUCAUUCUCCUUCUCUCACGGCAGGCUCCUAACACUAAACCGCACCCUGGGAGCACAUUCUAGGGGCAGCACCAAACAAUGCAAGCAAACAGCCAAAAUACAGGAUACAUAAAGGAGAAAGAAACAGAAAGUUUCAUGAACUUCCUCAGAUAUGCAUAAAACAAAAUUGUCCAGAUUGUUUUCCUUGGCUAAAACCUUCGCAGAGGGUUUUUAUCAAACAGGUCAAGGUCAUUAACAACAUUGAAUUGAUUCAUCAAUUUGCUCAAUAACAAAAGCCAACAUUUACAACAACCCAAUCAGUUGUCUGAUAGACAAGGCCCGACACAUUAGAAAGAGAUGAAAGAAUUUUUAUUGGGAAUUUUGAAUUCAUGCAACCGAAAACGGCAACGGAAUAAUUGCAAGAAAAUAGCAACGGCAAAAUGGAAGACAACAAUGCAUCAAAAUUUCUUAAACGUGAGGCAGGGAUUCGGCCAACUUAGCCGGUCUCUUCACACGCAAAAAUGCAGACAAACUCAUCUUAGAAUUUUGAUCAGGCAUUUCAUCGAAUAGGUUAGGGGUAUUAAAAGUUUCAUCAGAUUUUUGUUCAAGUUGAAAUCAAUCAGCCCCAAAAUUUACAGCAAACCCACAAGAAACCAAUUUAAUCAACAUACAGAAAAUGGUCAUAAACAAUCGACGCGAAAAUUGAGAUGCCAACCUUACAAAAAAAUAUACUUUGGCGGAAGAAGGAAAUGGAAAUGAAGAGGAUACCUUACUGUGACUUCUCACGGUGGUGAUGGUGAAUUCUGGCAGCGGCAGUGGCGGCAUCGGAGGUUGAAAGGUGGCGGCAAAGGUGGAGAGCAGCAGCGGCGGAUAAGGACUGGUAGUGGCAGAAGUGACGGCGUUGAUUUCUUCGGAAACAGCAACGGCCAGAAAUUGUUUCAAGCUUUUCGAAUUCAUCGAUUGGCGGCAGUGAUGCAGGGUUUUUUCUUUCAGCCGAGAGCCCUCACUCUCUCUGUUCCUUAGCCGAAGACCUCUUUUUUGUUGUUGUUUUGUUUUCCUUUCUUUUCUUGCUCUGUAGCCUCCCGAAGCUCCCUCUCUCGCUCCACAGCCGCCUUUGUUUUCCCCUCUUUUCUGAGCCCUCUCUGUUUUCCUUCCUUAGCCGAGCUUCCCCAAGUUUUGCAGAUUCCUUUUGCCGUUUUUCCCUUCCCAAUUCCUUUCAAUUUUUUCUUUUGCUCUGCUUUUUGUUCGGCCUUGACGAAGCCUCCUCUCUUUUUCUUGCCGUUCGCCGCCUUUUUUGUUCUCUGUUUUUCUUUCUUUCACCUCCCCCGUAACCCACUCCUCUAUUUUUUUUAGCUUUUUUUCCUUGUUUCCGCCGUAACCUCCUUUUUCCCUUGCACCCGUAGCCUUUUUUCAUUUCUCCUUGGCCCCCCCAAAAAUGUGUAACACCUAACCCUCUUACAUGCCUUGUUGCCCACAAUACAAGAGGGACACUUGUCUAGCAUGC